UGAGAACAAAGACUUGAUCACAUUAGAUUUAUCUUUUUGUAUACAGUCAUGUAUUUGAGAACAUGGCGAAUGCAGUGGGGGAGGUGGAUGAAUUGGGAAUUAGAGAUAAUUUCUCUAUUUUCCACUAUGUGUAGUUCCACAUCUUUUAUUUCCUGCACUAUUGUACUAUAGCUUAUUAAAAGAAAUACCUUGCAUUUUAUAUAUUCAAGGGUAUAUUUUACGAGGACCUUGAAGAAAAUUGUCUGUCAUGAAUAAUUUCUCUGUGAAUGUCAGUCACCUGAGUCCCUAAGCAUGGCUGAACACACAACAUGUUUAAUGAAACUUUAACAGACCCAAAAAUUUGUUUGACGUGAGCAAACGUUUAUGAUUAAAUUAAGGAUUGUUUCCAGUCCAAAGCCCAGCAAAAACAGUCCUAAUGGCUCCAACACACUAAGAAGGAUUAAAGAAAAUGUGUGCUAAAGCUGACAGUGAUGACUGAUCAAAACUUCAGUCUUUUUAGCCCUAAGGUAACUGGGUCAGAUUUCAUCAAUGUAAGCCCUAAGGUAUAAAAUAGAAAUUGGACUUGCAUGGUGAUGCAAGCUGGCUAUGAAAUUAGGAGGCCUUGGCUCACAAAAUAUGAAAAGUUGGCAUACUCAAUGGAAAUGAUGUUCAAAGCAGUUCACAGUAAGAAUGAGGAAAACAGCUUGUGCCACUUUGGAAUAAUAAACAGCAGUUCUCUUUUUGCAGUACUUAUAUUUCACACAUUGAUAAUAAUUUUGUGGCUUUUCCUAAUAUUUAUUAAAGUAGAAACAAAAAUAGAGAUCCUUUGAAGUUUCUAAAUGUUUAGAAAUUUUUUAUUAUGAAGCAUCUGUAUGUAAAAUAUAAAAGGUAUUUUUUUUGUGAAGAAAUAAUAAUUUAGGAAAAGAUCCAAGUAGCUAAAUAUAUUAUAUUUUUUUCCAGAAAAAAAUCUAAUAAGAAAACUAGUAUUUGAAAGCAAUUUGAGCAAAUCAUAAAUAAAGAUAUUUUCUUUUUGAAACAGGUUUUUAUCAUUGCAUUUGUUACUGCACAAGAGAAGAGGAGUCUCCUUCUUCUGAGGAGACAGGAGGACAAUUUAUUGUAUCUCAAAAGCAUAACAAUUAAUUCUUCACAUUAAAUACUAGGUUUUCAACUCAGAAAGAGGAUCAGAAUUUGAAAUACAUCAGGAGGGAGCAUUACCUGGUGAGAAUAUCUGAGCUGUGAGCACACCAUUUCUCUAAGGCAGAAGAAAAAUUAUUGAACAACAAUUCCAUGCAAUCCAAGAUACUUUACCAGAGGGGAUGCAAUGCUGGAUCUGAUGGUCACCAACAUAAGGGAGCAAAUGAGGUACUUCAAGUCUGAAGGCAACCUGGUGGAGUUGGUGGAGUUUUCAGUCCUAAAGGAUAUGAGUUGGGUAAGGAUUAGAGUUUGCACCUGAACUUUAGGAAAGCAAACUUUAACUAGCUUUUUAAGGAGAUAGUCAGUCAGAUCCCCUGAGAGACUGCCUUCAGGGACAAGGGAGUGCAAUGGAGCUGGCAGAUACAUAAGGAUGUCUUCAGUAAAGUGCAAGAAGUCGCAGUUCUGAGGACCAAGAAAUUGGGCAAGGAAGGCAAGAGACUGGAAUGGCUGAGUAGGGAACUGCUGGUCAGAGUGAAGGGAAUGAAGCAAAUGCACAAGCCGAGGACAGGUGGCCUGGGAAGGGCAUAGAGUAUGGUUCUGUACUCAGAAAGAAUAGCAGGAAGUGCUUCUACAGGUAUGUAAAACAGAAGAAGAAUGUCAAAGAAGGCAUGCCCUCCUGAUAAAUGGAACUGGCAAACUGAUAAAAAUGGAGAAGGUUGAGGUACUCAACAACUUUUUUGACUGAGUCUUCAAUGGCAGCUUCUCUCCCCACAUCUUUUGAGUGGAUGGGUGGCAGGAUGGGGGAGCAAUGUCCCUCCCACUGUAAGAAAAGAUCAGGUUCAUGACCACCUGAGAAACCUGAAUGUAUGUAUGUCUAUGGAGUCCAAUGAGAUGCAUUCCAGAGUCCUGAGGAAGUUGGCUGCCAUUUACCUGAGCAGUGUUAGCUGCAGGCAGUGAAUAACAGCUCCCAGAAUGACAUACCUAUUUGAAUCAAAAAGACUGCUCAUCACACUAAGAGGAGUGUUAUUUUUUGACCUGGGACUCCUGCUAGACUUUUGCAAUCUCUGCAAAGACAGACAUUACAGCCUCUGCAGCAAAGCAGUCUUAAACACAGCAGUUUCAAAUUCUGCCUCCUCUGAUAUCUGUGGCAAAAAUCCCAAUGGAGACAAGAUUUCACCAUGUUUAUUCAGGCUCAAAGGUAUGUUUACCAUACCACAAAGACACUGCUGAGCCUCUGCUAAAGUGAAAGGUUGGAGGUAGGUUGUUGUUCUGAGACUUAAAAGAAAUAAUGGAUUUAUAUCUGAUCUGAUCCAUGACACUUCAUUAAGGGAAAUUGGAAAGACAGAGACUCCCAAACACAAUAGGGUAGUAAUUAAUUUUUUUUAAUUCUAGCUUGGUUCACUGUGAUAUGAUAGUGUAUAAGGUGUGAAAUUCAGUUCUUUUCUUAACAGAAGAGAGCCAGUAUAUAACACAGCUGGCUUUAAACAGUACUAAGAGCCAAAUUUAUAUGAAAAUGAAAAGUUGUGAAAAUCAGAAGUAUUUUUUCCUCAAAUAAUACUUUUUUCUGUCCUUAAUUUUGUAUAUUUCCUAAAAUAAUGUAAACCACUAUUAUUUUGGAAAUAUACAAAAUUUAGUCUUUAUGGCAUUCUACACUUGUUCCAAGCACAGAGGUAGCUUCUUGGUGGGUUUUUUGUUGGUUUUGUUUGUUUGUUUUUGUUUUUGGUGGGCUUUUUUUUGUUUGCUAAAGAGAGAAUUAAAAAGAUUAUUCAGUAUUUCACCAGACAGAAAAAUCAAAGAAGAAAGAGCAAAUUCCAUGGGUAAGACCCUAUCUGGAAUUCAAGACACAAGCUAGAUUUGUCAUGCUACUGAACACUUCCAAUAAAUUCCUGAAUAUAUUGCUUGGUUUCUCUUGCACUUUGGCUUGGCUCAGCCUUGCAGGCCAUUCUGAGGCAAAGCUGCAAUAAAGGCUUUGGAGAGCUCAGCUCUACAGGCACAAUGCAGACAUCCUCUGUUGAAUCUUGCAGGUCUAAUAAUGUGAUGAGGAAAGACCUUGCUUAGGGAACAGAUUACAGAGAAAAUUUAUCAUAAUCAGGAAGUGUGGGCUACAGAGCUUCUAAAACUCAUUAAUAGCAUGCAAACAGGAGCUCAGGGCUCAUAAAAAUGAGUUUAAUCUAUAAAUGAUGGCUUUUGUCUGUAUCUUUUUAGGUGUCCCAGCUGCUAUUCAAGCUGAUGUUUGCAAAGAUCCCUGGAUACACAAGUGUCUCCACAACAAGAAGCCAAAUAAAGGAGGUGAUUGCGUGUUAGUUUUAACAGUGAGGAGUAGCAGAGUUCCUAAAUUAUGAUAGGAAAUCAUACUUUAUUAGCAUUUAACCAGAUAAUGCAGUUAUUCUUUGCUGUAAGUGAAUCUUGCAUAUGCUAAAGAUGCUGAGUUGAACUCUCUACAAUAGGAUGUGUAGGGGUCAUUCUACUUGUAUCCAGAGCAGCUGAAGGAGCUCAGCUCCACCAAUUCCUCUCCCUGAGAGGCAGAAAGAAAGGAGGUUUCUUGCUUGCAUGCUCACCCUCCUUUGCAUGACUAUGCAGAUAACAAUUUGGAAACUAUGAUUAGUUUACCAGAUUAAACUACUUCUUAAAACUCUUCUGGGAACUGUGCUGCUGUGCCUUGUUCUGAGAUUUCCAAAUAAUAAAUAAUCUAACUUGGUUCUCUGGAAAAUUAUUCUUUUGUAUGUUGUAAUCAGUUCUGUCAUCUGCCUAUAUUUAUUCCUUGUUAAUCCAUAGGAGUAAGGAUUUGCAGUGAAUAGUUUUGUCUCUAUCAGGAUUAAAUUUCUGCUGUAUGUUCCUUGUCUUGUUGCUGUUGCUCUUAAUUAAAAUCUUGCUUCCUUUGUUCUUUUAGUAGAUAUGAGUAUUAUCUGUGAUUCUUUGAUAUACUCUAAAAUAAAGAAAAAAAAUGUCUAUAAUAUUAUAAUGUAACGCAAUUUAUUGAUAAAAUAUUAGUAAUUUAAUUUCCUCCUAACUAAGCAAUAGUGGAUCAAAUUUUCUCUUAGAAUGUAUGACAUUGAAUUGAUAUGAAAAAGAAAUGUUGAAUGUAAAUGAUGUAUUUUUAUGAUAAUUUGGUACUCACCACAGCCUGACCACAGCCUUAGCUGUACUUGAAACUGUUGCAUUACCUUAUCUCUUUCCUUUGCCCAAACAUCUGCUAUUUCAUAUCCAUGUUUUUAAACUAGCAAAACACUCACUACAAUCGCUUUUAUUUUCUUAUGAAUCAUAUUCCUCACAAAAGUAAAAUUGAAAUAUUUUUUGUGUAAAGUCUCAAUAGGUAUGCAAGAGUUGUUUUUAUCUCUCUGAAACUGCUUGACUUCAUUUUCAGGGAUGAUUAAGAACCAGAAAUGGUGUAGAAAAAGCACCACAGUUUAAAAAGAUGUGAAGGAUUACAAUGUGUCUCAUUUCUCAUUUGGUUCAAGCUCAGGUGCCAGAGGUUACUGGUGAUUGCUGCUGAUUACGGCUGCAGGCUGGGGUAGUUUUUUCCAGCCUAGGUCUGGGAAAGGCUUUUCUUCUGUCCCCUCUUGUAUGUUUUUUUUUUUGGAUUAGCAGAAGUGAAGACUUGCAGUAUCAAAAUGUUCGCUGUUGAAAAGACCUAAGUUUGAUUUAUUGAUUUGUAUUUGGUAGUGGCGGUGGCAGCCUGUGUUAUUCCUAGGAAGUAAUGGUAAAAAGGAAGUCAGUGCUGGAGAGACAUCCUGAGACUCAUAGUAAACCUACCAUAGGUAAGAAGAAAGGUAGAUCCAGGUUGCACUCAGCAGGUAUGUUCUGGAGGAGGUUGACUUCCUACUUGGUCUGUGCAGUGCUCAUGUGUUGGCAAUACUGUAAAGUGCUGGAAUGAGGAGCUGGCUGGGAGAGAGGAAUCCUGGCUUUUGCAUGUCUCUUCUUUUGGCUUGGAAAUACUUUCAUAUACAGAGUUGUUCUGAUGCAAAUAUUUCUUUUGGUCAAUAUCAUUAAGGGUAAAGGAUGCAAAUUGAGAAGGAGCAUCCCCAUACCUGGUACUGCCUGUUUUAACACAGAGCCACUUCUUUGCUCCUGUAGAAGCUGUGUCACUGCUACUAAUAUGUGUCAUGUAAUUAUAUAAUUAGGGAAGGUUUUGCCUUGCUUUAUUGAAUAUUGAAUUUGCAUUCACUAAUGGAACUGUACAUGUGAUCUUUGAGAGCAUUACACCUUUUAAAAUUUUUUUUCCUACUUGGAGAAUCUAAUUUGGAAAGAAUGAAGCAAUAGAUAAAAUUGCAGCUAAAUUAAGUCUGCUAAUACUGAAAAUUCUACAGAGGAAAAUCAUUAUUAUUUUACUCUCUCUUCUCAGGUGUAAAUUAUAUGCUUCACUGGGGAUUUUGCUUCUCGGUAAAACUUUUAAUAAAUCUUUACCAAUACUAAAAACCAGAGAUGAAAAAGACCCAUCCUAAUUUAUGAGUCUCUGAAAUCAGCAAGUAAUUUGCUCAUUAGAUUAGACUUUUUUAAUCUAUAAAAUAUAUAACUUCUUGCUUGGUAUCUCUAGCCAAAAACACUGCACAACAUCCCCUCAAGACAUAAUCACAGGUUUCUUGGCCUUUUGAUAUAUUUCCUUUAAUGUCUUUUAAAAGGCAUUAAAUAUGGAAUUAUCAUAUUCAUGGAAAGUAAUGUGAAGUUAAAAAGCACAGGGAAUGAUUUCUUGAAGCUUUUUUGUUUCUGUGGGCCAUGGUGACCCAGCAGAAUCUGAGUAGCUGGGAAGUGAAGGCACCUGCUGCAAAUUCCUUCCAUAAUGUAAUUUUUUAUUUUUUCCAAAUCUGCUCUUUGGUUCUCUGCCAGGGGGCUUUCUCAGUCAGUCUGUUUUCAUUCAGUUGAGUCCAGACAUGUUUAUUUCACACAUUUUCCAUGUUUCAGUUGUUUGUUUUUCUAGACUGCCUGACUACUUGAUGUGGGCACAUGCUCAAAGACCGGACAAUCGGGAUUUGUUAUCACUUUAUGAGGCAUUAAAUAUUAAUUAGUGUUGGUGCUUUAGGUUACAGAAGGAAAAAAUAAUGUCUGGUUGUGAAGAACAAUAAUGAAGUUUUAGAUGGUAAGGAAUGGGUUUAGAGAUCAUGUUGGACUUAAUUACUGUGCUUUUUUUAAGUGAUAGGGGAGCACAUUAUACUCAAAAUAGCUCACCAAGGCUGCUUGAGUUGUUUUAAUUUAGAGAAUUAAAAAACUUUUAAUGGGAAAGUAGCCUCUCAACAGAAAGAAAAAAUGAAAAGCAGUAAAUUAUUUUUAUUUUUUUUGUCUUGUUAAAGUAUACAAAACUCUUAGAGAAGUAUAGUUCUGUAUGUAUAUCUCCUUGUUUAUAUUUACACACUUACAUGCAGAUGUACAUGUCAUAAUGAAUUUUAGCAGGUUGUCAAGAUUUGGUGGUACGUUUUUUGGUCCUUCUUAUAAGUGGCAGAAGCAGCACCCAAAAUACAAGGGUACCAUAGGGCUUAUUUAGAAACUUCUAAGAACUUUCUCAAAUGACAAUUUUUUGGUCAAAUGUUGCAUAUGUAGGCUUUGGUACAGAAAAAUCUUCAGAAUCUUCAUGCUGUUUAAAUAAUUGCAGCAGCAUGUAUGGACCAAUCAAUAACACAUUUUCUUUUCAAGCUUCUAAAAGAAUUUUAACAGCAGAAAUUGAACUGUCACAACAGUGGUAGAUGUUACAUCAUUGAACUUUGCAAUAAUUUUCUUUUUGUACUAUUAUGACAUUGGACAUUGUGAGCCUCAGCAAGCUCAGUGAGUGAAAAUAGAACAUCAGGAAAACUAAAUUCCAGAGCUGCCAAAUCAGGACACAGAAAUAAUAUUAACUCUUGUAGCACUCUACAUUGUAUAAGUUGUCUGUGUAACACUCAACAUGGCAACAACUUUGGUGAUUGCUAAUUGGAAUUGUGUUCAGGCCUCAAAAAAGCAAUUAGAACAAACUUGGGGAGAGAGAGGGGAUUUUGGAGUACUAGAUCACUUCAUUUCAGAAUUACUAGUUAUUAUGGCAGUGUUAACUGAGAUUUACAUUAAAACAAUGCAAAAGGCUUUAAAACUUUUGCAUUGUUUUAAUGGAAAUCUAACUGGUUUAAGUGUCACAGGCAUUGUAGCCUCUGUUAUGUUAGGAGUUACAUAGCCUAAUGAAUUAGAAAAAAAAAGAAGAGAAGAAAAUGAAGCAUGUCUCUGAGUACAGGCUUCAUUGAUCUGAGUCCAGUUAAUUUGUGUGCAGAAUUGAGAGCAGAUUUAAUGCUGCAGGCCUUCCAAUUUGAAUUUUAGGACAAGGCUAGACUUCCAAACAGAUUCACUGGCAGCCCACUCCAAGAGCAAGAAAAAUUCCUAUUGCCCCUGGAGAUGUUGUAAGAGGCCUCUAGAUUUGAUUAAAAUGCAGAGGUAAACAGGGUAGAACCAACUAACUAUGAGGCAGAAUAAUAGCCUUCAGCUGAAUAUUCAGAGAAGCUGAAGUAUCUUGGCCAGUAAGGUUUUUGACAGUCUUGUUAUUCUGUUUAUCAACUUUGAAUCUGUGUUUUCAAAAUCUUGCAAAUCACUUGCAAGUGUUAUAGUUUUCAGGCAGGGCUCUUUGAAGGUAAGUGACUUUGAAUUUCAUGAUUGCAAACAAAUCAACAAACACGAUUGCAGUUGCCAUAAAAAUUUUUCUGAAGAUUUAAUAUGAUAGAAAAAGUGACAUUACUUUGGAUUAAAGGAACAUAAUGAAAACUAUUUGUCAUAUACUGUUUUAAAAGAGAGACAUAAGCAAAACCAAUAGAACAAUCACACAAGCAUUCAUUUUCCUAUGGGCCAUCUACAGUCUAUAUAAGAUGCAAAGAAACUAAUAUAGGCCUGGAAAAAUUCCAUGUGCUAGACAUUUAUAAAGAGAAGCCUUUUACUUUUAGAUGAGGUAUACUCAAUGUCUGAGGAGGAUAUCAGAAGUGUAAGCAAAAAUUUCUGAAAGAAGACCAAGAAAUUUGUUACACUGCUUUAGUCAUUGGCCUGUCUUAUUUGAAAUACUUUAGUUUCCAUAGAGCCUAUAAAUUCUUUCUUGAAAGUUCAGUAAAAUUUUGUAGCCCUAUAAACAUCUGAGCUACAAAUCAGACUUUGUUCAGAAGUUUGGGUCUGUGACAGGAAGAAAAUAAUUAAAAUGAUUCCCUGAGAAGAAAGGGCAGACUGAAUAUUUUGGCAGAGCCUAAGACAUUUUCAUUACUGGUAUUAAGAGACGAAGGUUCCCCUUGUGGCAAGUAUACCUUGGGCUCUCCAGCAAAAGUGACUGACAAUGAAAUUUAUAAGGGAAUGAGUCUGGCAAAAACAAAAAGCCAGCAUAAAAAGACCCAAAGAAGGGAAGGCAGUAGAAAACAUUUGAAAUGCAGCUAAAUUUGCUUGUAGAUACUAAAUGACAGUAGAGGAAGUAGGGUUCUCCUUACAUCUGAAUCUAUUUGCCUGGGAAGGGCUGGCAAAAAAUACUUUGCAAGUUCCUCACAGAGCUCUGAUUGCUGUCACCCCACUCCCCUCACAGAUUCUAAUGCUGUAUUUUACAUAACUUGAUCUGGGAGCUAUAAAGUCUUUUGGAGAAAAGUGGUAAAAUUACUUCAGCUGCUGCUGGAUUUGGGUUUGCUAGUUUAUUCUAAGUUUUGGAGAGUAGUGUUGCUUCUGUCUGUAGACAAUUUCAAGUGACCUGAUAGAAAAAAAUACUGGAGCCAAUAUGACAUGACUGUUAGUGGUUAAAAGAGAGGGAUGUGCAAAGUAGCAUCAUUUGCCAUUGAGAUACUUUCUAGCUUAGGAGACCUAAUGUGAUUUAAGGUAAAAAUCCUUGCCUUGGGAAGUACUCUGCUUACUGUCAUCCUGAAGAAACAUCCCUUUCAGUUCUGAGUUCGUCAGCAAAGAACAUAAACUCCAUCACCCAGUACAUGUAGAUCACCUUUUAUGAGGUUAACAGAGCCAAAUUUUCUGAAAGGAAAAUGGAAAAUAUGGCAGAUCCUUUUGUAGAGCUACCAGUUCUGGAGCAAGUAGCUGUACGUGCUCUGACUCACACUAAAUUGUUGCCCUUCUGCUCCUCCCCACUCACUGCAAAGCCAUGAUUAAGUGCUAGAAAGAAAGGCUGUGUUUCAAACAGCCGAGGGAUGGUGGGAAAUAAGUGAUCUGUGAUUUAAUGCAAGUGGGUUCCUGGGUGUGAAUGGGUAAUGCAGAGAUCUCAAAAGUCUGUGGAGAAUAACACCA
Molecule: non-coding RNA, 9318 nt
Organism: Taeniopygia guttata (zebra finch)
Lineage: Eukaryota; Metazoa; Chordata; Aves; Passeriformes; Estrildidae
Source: RefSeq, a predicted model, not a curated record